UGUCAUUCUAUUUGUUUUCACAGAAUUACUUCUGUGCUUAUACAGGGAAGAGUUAGACUGCUCUUAAAAUCAUGCUUGUGUUUAACAAAGUUAUUGCAUGCUUUAUUAAUGUUUGAAAGGUUGCACUGAUAACAAGCUUAGGAAACUUAAUAAGGUACUUACAUGUAUUGAUAGAUUGAAACGUUAGUUUUCUUCUCUAGAAAAGGGAAUCCAGUAUGAGGAAAACUACAGUCAAAGUUUAGAAGACCUUUUAAAAACAACUCACAGGACUUUUCGCUGCUCUUUUAAGGUGGGACUGAUCACUUUUUCAGUUGGUUUAUGAGAACGAAAUCGUUCGGUAGCAGCUUCUUUGAAGCCGCUGGAGCAAGUCUGGUAAAAAUCUGUAUUAGCAGAAUCAGAACCAGACACUCAGCCUCGGAAUUCCACUCUGCUGGAAAAUGGGUGCAGAUCAGCUCCUUUGGAGACCACGGACUAAGAAGAAUAUUCCUUUUGUCCUAUAAAAAUAUUGGGAUGAGUUUUGGUUUUUAAGACGGCUGCUAGUAUUCGUUCUCUCCUCUGAGGAUCGCCCACGUGACCAUGCCGUGUAAUCUGUGCUGGGUCCUCCCUAGAGAGCUCCAGCUGUCCACCCUCGGCUACGAGUCUGAACCAAACCUGCUGCCCACGUGCGUGGCAGCAGAAAGCCAUCUGAAAGGUCGCAGUGCCCCAUGGUUUGAUCUAUGGUCAAGAUGCCAAAACCUACAGGGGCAGAUCAGAGUUUAUUGUGUGAAGAGCUUCAGAAGAAAGAUAAGCUGCCUUAAAACUGUUAGAGAGGCAAAAUUACUUUGGAAGCAUAUGAGGAGUAUUGACACCACUUGAGCUUUCUGCUCUAUGUUGCCAGGUUUCUCAUCAUCAAAGCGUUUGAAGAUUACAGUGAUAAAGGAAUACAAAAAAUAUAAACACUGAGAUGAAGAUAGAAGCAGAAAGUGUUUAUAUGGCAAUUGUCAUGAAACUGUUACCAAAAAAAAGCACAGAAGUAGAAAAAAGAUGAAUUCAAAAAUUCCCUGUCCAGAACAAGACAGGAAAAAUAUGCAUAUAGACAAAAAUCCUCAGAUUUUUGACUGUAAGUCUUUUAUGACUGUAAGAAUCAUUGCUGAAACCAUUUUGAAGGUCGCCCUGGGGUCCUCUAAAUAGUGCAGUUGUGUUAGAUGCCCCUUUUUUUAGAUAUUUCUUCUACGAUUAAGGGUAACGUAAAGACUUAUUUUUCUAAUAUGGUUACCUGUAAAUUUUUCCAUCAAGUAUCCUUUCAACAUUUUCGAACUCCAUUACUCAAUUUCAAACAAAUGUGACAUCAGUACGGACGGUAAAAGCUCCGCAAAUGCUCUAAAAAUAGGGCAAAUAAUAGAACAUGUCAGUGCUCCACUGACCCAGUGACAGGAUGAAGGAUGAGUUUGUUUUUAGAUACCAAAAAAUGGUAGAGAAAAGGAGAGAAAAAUUCCACCCGUGGAGAAGCUGCAUCUCUUAUGAGAUACUGCAUAAUGCAAUGAGACAGAAAGCAUAGGCAAUCAGGAGAUUCUGCUCAUGUAUUGGUGGCUCUAAAGGUGGGGGAAUUUCAGAGGUGGCUGCUGUCUUAGGAGGAAGAUAUGAAAUACAGAGAAUUUACAGAUUCUGCAGAAAGACACCAUAAGUGACACAGCUUUGGCAGUUAGCGGGAAGUUUGUGAAGCAGCAGCAAAUUUCAAAGCAGCCAGUAGGUUGGUUCAGACUUUCAGCUGUAAUGUCAGGACAUUGAUUAUCUUCUAAACAACGGUCUCUCAGGAUCAUUGAAUAUGCAAGGUCCAAGACAACAUGCACUUCUCGUACUGUUUUGGUGGCCCUGCCCCCAUAGAUAACAAGAAUUCAUGUUAUAUUGCCUAUGUUAUCCUCAGCUGUACGUACUAUCCAGCACUGAACACUAUUCAGGUACUAUAGCACUAAAGUACUAUUCAGGCACUUUAUUAGGAAAAUUUGUACUUACUUUCUUCAUUGUUAAUGCUUUCGGGUAGGGUUAUAAUCUAGACAGGGCUCCAAAGUAUGACUUCUAUGCUGUAAAAAUAGUCUAGAAUUCAGAAGACUGGAUUUGGGCCUGAUGCAUGCUUUACCAUACCCCAUAUAUUUUUUAACAAACAUCUACAAGGAACAAAUAGCUGUUAUCCUCCCUGCGUUUGCUAAUGGACUCAGACAGACAGCACAAAAAGCAUAUUUAAAUCCACUAACAGUAAAAGAGUAGCACCUUGAAAAAGUGACUCUCAGACUCAGUAGUCUGCCAAAAUGAGUACUGUGGUGUAAAUAUUUGAAAUAAUUCUUCAUUGUAUGGUUACAAGCCGAGCAAUAGGGAUGCAGAAGGGGUAGAGGAACAUUUCGAAAUGCCAGGUCCUAAAGAUAGCUGUGAAUUUUCACUAUUCAGUACAUCUGAGUAGACAAAGAAAAUCCGGACCUUUGAUGACCCCUGGUGAAUAAACUAAGCACUGCAUUGAAAUGACGACCGAUA
Molecule: long non-coding RNA, 2505 nt
Filed under: Struthio camelus australis
Lineage: Eukaryota; Metazoa; Chordata; Aves; Struthioniformes; Struthionidae
Description: lncRNA (ENSSCUG00000016963.1)
Source: RNAcentral